UCUCUUUUUCAAUCAGGUUGUUUCAGGUAAUCUUUUGCCGCAUAGUCUGCCCUAGCUGACGCUGUGCAGAGAAUACUACGAUUGGAAACGGUUGGUUAGACCCGUUCGCACUGCACAAGGUGAUUUGGCGUUUAGAAUGUCUGGUAGGCUCUUACAUUCUUUGGAGAGGUCCCAAAUGGCACCCUGUAGUGUACUACUUUUGACCUAUCCCCAGUGGGCUCAGAUCAAAAUAAGUGCACUAUAUAGGGAAUGGCGUGCCAUUUGUCUGUGUGUGUGUGUGUGUGUUAGGAUAUGUUUUGUGCCAAUCAGUUGAUGAAAAUGUAUCCCUCAGAAAGCAAGAUGGACCGUAGUGAUGAGAGAAUCAAAAGAGCUUUAAGGCGCCGCCCUUAUGUGGUAAAUACCAAUUUAUUUAGUUUGUGUUCUGUCUUUGUCAUCACAUUUUAAAUGGAGUGUUGUGUUGACAGUUGAAUCCAGUGAGGGUGAACACCCCUGAUUCUGUGAUGUGGCCAACCGGUAAGGUACACAGAAGACCAAGGCCUUCUACUUCAGCGCAGACCCCUCAGAUCCACAAAAGGCCUCCAAUCAUUGAGAGCUGUGGGCAGGAACAGACAUCUGGGGAUGGACGGGACAUCAAUCCAGAGCCUCUCAGCCAGUCUGGAAGGGUGACUCGGCUGAUGGAGAGAAAUUAUGAUGGGGUCAUCUCAUCCUCCAACUCUGAUGACAUCUCUAUCUACUCCUUCACUGACUGUGAAUCUGAGUCUGAUGAUGAGGAUCAUGAAAGGAGGACACCACCGCUGAUAGUGAAGGAUGAGGAGGAUGGAAAGGUGACAAAGUUUGAAGUGAGGGAUAUGGUAG
This 855-nucleotide long non-coding RNA is filed under the name Salmo salar (Atlantic salmon). RNAcentral's name for it is "lncRNA (ENSSSAG00000111553.1)". The record is from RNAcentral. Lineage: Eukaryota; Metazoa; Chordata; Actinopteri; Salmoniformes; Salmonidae.